UAUCAAGGCAAAUGGUGUGCAUAAAAAUGGCCCGCCACCUGGACACAAAACGGGAUUGUGCGUGACAUGACCUUCUUGGAAUUUUCCUCCAUUUUAGUUGCGGUGGCGAUUUGGGGAUCGGAGCUGACUAAUAAAAGGCUGUGCUUCUGGUGCGACAAGAUGGCAGUGGUACAGGUUAUCAGUUGCCAAACUUCCAGAUCGCACAGGGUUAUUAAGUUGGUAAGGGCAUUUGUUCUAAAAUGCUUAAACUUCAACAUCUGCUUUUCUUCAAAGCAUAUGCCGGGCAUGGAUAAUGGCAUAGCAGUCGCCUUGUCUCAUUUUCAGGUUGAGAGAUUUCGUAAGCUUGCACCAGGGGCUAGCAGUGAACCUGAGCAGAUGCUGCUGGCUCUCUGGAACCUCGGAAUGUGUUGUGGUCCUUGUGGCACAUGUUCAGUGCAGGUACUCUAUAGGAAAGGCAGCCAGUGACCGGACAAAUGGCCUGGUAAAGGACUUAAAAGGAGGUACUGGAUAAUGAAACAGAACGGAGGAGGGGGUUGGGGACUCCUAUGAUUGGUACAGCUGGGAGCCAAUAACCUUCCCCUCCCAUUCUCAUAGCCCUCCUUAACCCUUUUACGAGGGUGGUGGAUAGUACGGUCCAAGCCAUGAGUCGGCUGGGGGACCUGGAUGGAAACAAAGGGGGGCUGGUGGAAGCCCCGGAAAAUUGAUUUCAAUAAGCAUAGAUUUUCCUGUAUUGUACACUUUAGCUGCUGGGUAGUCCCAGACAUCUAUAUAAUAAAGUUGCGGCCUGAUUAAAACCCAUAAUUAAUCUCCUGUUCUUCUUGCGGUGUACCCAGACAAUGAUUAGUAAUAGACUGAUGGUUUUUAAAAGGGCACAGUUGUUUCUACAACUUUGUGUCAUUUCAAAUAUGUAUUGGCUGGAUAAAGUGACCUCAUCAAACAUACCCAGUCUCACAGGGAGAACUGUGAUUCAGGGGGUUUCAUUGCCAGCAAACACAGUAAUGGAGAAAAAAACACAAGAUUAGGGUUGUGGUUACUUGGUUGGUUGGCUGGUUUUUGUUGUUCCUCCCUCCCCAACUUCCUUAACUUGGGAAUGAACUGAGUAUUCAAGAAAAAUCAGGAAAUAAUAGCACUGAUAAGUGCCAGGUACUAUGCAAGCUUCCUCAUACAGUAUUACUAAUGUAUCUACUUCCUGAUUGUCUGUAGUAAUCUUGUUGAUUCCAGAACAGAGAUACUAGUCAUGCAGUGAACAAAUGAAGAAUGGGAUGAGGCCAUCAAAAUCAUUUUGAUUUGUGACAUAUGAUUUGAACUCUGCUCUCCAGAGGUGAAAGGUCCAUGCACUGGAUCACCUAGACUUUGGAUAUUCUUUGAAUGUUGCAUUUUUAUUGCACUGAUAUCCUACAAAGAGUAACUGUGGAAGAAUGGACAAGAGACAGUUGACAUGUUCCAAACCUCAAGGCAAAGGAUAAGCAAAUGUCCUGCACAGAAGAUCAGCCAGCUGGCACUAUCUACUGCACCAGGCAUGUUUCCAAUUUAUAAAGUAGAAUAUUUAACUUACUGGUGCAAAACACUUACCUUAUUGCCAGCUAUGUGAAACAAAAUUAGUUAUAGUCAAUUUAGUUAUGUACAGAAAAUAGAAGUAUAAUCAAUCAAUUCAUUUAGAAUUAUUCCUUACACACCCUACCCCCAUUGAAUAAAGGAAACAACACAUCUCAUGAAUGAUUAUUUGUAAGGCGAAAGGAGAACACACAUACUGUCGUGAUUAGAUAAUCUCAAGGAGGGGAUAGCAAAAGACAAAGGAAACAGUGCACUGAAGGAAAUUCACAAAGAAAUGUUAAUACUUAUUGCCAGUACAUUUUGAGUUAGCUGUUCUGUUUUCUUUGCUACUUCUUACCAGCUGUACCUCUCAAAAGAUACUUUCUUUGCUUUUUUUUUCUCCUCUUUGAUGAGGAAAUUAAUCAUGUUGGGGGAUAUCUUCAAAAGCAUGAAGGCAUGCUAGAUGCCCAAAUUUCAAUGAAAGUCAUAUUUGCAACCUGGACAAUGUCUUACUAUAUGUUUUCUAAUGGAAUAACUUCCCAGAGAAGUAGUUUGUUUGUUCACUUGAAGAUGGUUUGUGUUUAUGUAUAGCCCUUUUAUCAGCAUAAAGUGAUCUCAAACAUC
This is a long non-coding RNA of Malaclemys terrapin pileata, 2157 nucleotides long. RefSeq lists it as uncharacterized. NCBI's taxonomy places the organism in Eukaryota, Metazoa, Chordata, Testudines, Emydidae. The transcript is spliced from 2 exons. The record is from RefSeq and is a predicted model, not a curated record.